AAAUUGAAGAGUUUGAUCAUGGCUCAGAUUGAACGCUGGCGGCAGGCCUAACACAUGCAAGUUGAACGGUAACAGGAAGCAGCUUGCUGCUUUGCUGACGAGUGGCGGACGGGUGAGUAAUGUCUGGGAAACUGCCUGAUGGAGGGGGAUAACUACUGGAAACGGUGGCUAAUACCGCAUAACGUCGCAAGACCAAAGAGGGGGACCUUCGGGCCUCUUGCCAUCAGAUGUGCCCAGAUGGGAUUAGCUUGUUGGUGAGGUAACGGCUCACCAAGGCGACGAUCCCUAGCUGGUCUGAGAGGAUGACCAGCCACACUGGAACUGAGACACGGUCCAGACUCCUACGGGAGGCAGCAGUGGGGAAUAUUGCACAAUGGGCGCAAGCCUGAUGCAGCCAUGCCGCGUGUAUGAAGAAGGCCUUCGGGUUGUAAAGUACUUUCAGCGGGGAGGAAGGUGUUG
RNAcentral lists this ribosomal RNA (459 nucleotides) under Salmonella enterica subsp. enterica. RNAcentral's name for it is "bacterial SSU rRNA". It matches the Rfam family "Bacterial small subunit ribosomal RNA", at positions 1 to 456 of the family's 1533-position model. The record is from RNAcentral. Lineage: Bacteria; Pseudomonadati; Pseudomonadota; Gammaproteobacteria; Enterobacterales; Enterobacteriaceae.